Molecule: ribosomal RNA, 497 nt
Filed under: uncultured bacterium
Lineage: Bacteria
Description: partial 16S ribosomal RNA
Rfam family: Bacterial small subunit ribosomal RNA
Source: RNAcentral
GAUGAACGCUGGCGGCGUGCCUAAUACAUGCAAGUCGAGCGAACGGACGAGAAGCUUGCUUCUCUGAUGUUAGCGGCGGACGGGUGAGUAACACGUGGAUAACCUACCUAUAAGACUGGGAUAACUUCGGGAAACCGGAGCUAAUACCGGAUAAUAUUUUGAACCGCAUGGUUCAAAAGUGAAAGACGGUCUUGCUGUCACUUAUAGAUGGAUCCGCGCUGCAUUAGCUAGUUGGUAAGGUAAUGGCUUACCAAGGCAACGAUGCAUAGCCGACCUGAGAGGGUGAUCGGCCACACGGGAACUGAGACGCGGUCCAGACUCCUACGGGAGGCAGCAGUAGGGAAUCUUCCGCAAUGGGCGAGAGCCUGACGGAGCAACGCCGCGUGAGUGAUGACGGUCCUCGGAUCGUAAAGCUCUGUUAUUAGGGGAGAACAUAUGUGUAAGUAACUGUGCACAUCUUGACGGUACCUAAUCAGAAAGCCACGGCUAACUACGUG